AUUGAACGCUGGCGGCAUGCCUUACACAUGCAAGUCGAACGGUAACAGAUUUUCGGCCGCUGCCGACUGGCGCACGGUGGCGUAAUGCAUCGGAAUAUGCCCAGUCUUACUUUUUCACUGGUCGUAACGUCAGCUAAUACAGCAUAAGACCUCAGGGUGACAGCGGGGGACCGCAGGGCAUCGCCCGAUCGGGCGCGCCGAUGUCAGAUGAGCUCGUUGGCGGGGUAAAGGCCUACCAAGGCAACGAUCUGUAGCUGGUCUGAGAGGACGAUCAGCCACACUGGGACUGAGACACGGUCCAGACUCCUACGGGAGGCAGCAGUGGGGAAUAUUGGACAAUGGGCGCAAGCCUGAUCCAGCAAUGCCGCGUGCAUGAAGAAGGCCUUCGGGUUGUAAAGUGCUUUUGUCAGGGAAGAAAAGCACUAGGCUAAUACCCCGCUAUUAUGACGGUACCCGAAGAAUAAGCACCGGCUAACUACGUG
RNAcentral lists this ribosomal RNA (482 nucleotides) under uncultured bacterium. Its description in RNAcentral is "partial 16S ribosomal RNA". It matches the Rfam family "Bacterial small subunit ribosomal RNA", at positions 30 to 507 of the family's 1533-position model. The record is from RNAcentral.